Molecule: long non-coding RNA, 209 nt
Filed under: Solanum tuberosum (potato)
Lineage: Eukaryota; Viridiplantae; Streptophyta; Magnoliopsida; Solanales; Solanaceae
Description: long non-coding RNA (STUB_LNC009720)
Source: RNAcentral
GUCAGAAGCAUAGAACCCUCCACAUUUUAAAUAUGAUCUCAAAAAUAUUUUUCAAGUAUUUGAAAAUAGUUUUUCCACAUAUUUUUUUCCAUGCUAUCAAAGUGUCAUUGGCAACAUGAAACCUCUUUUGAAAAUAUUAUUCUACAAAAGAAUUAUAGUGCUUCAAUUCUCAUUGACAAUCUUUACACAAUUUCAAAGUUCAUUCCAUA